Molecule: ribosomal RNA, 497 nt
Filed under: uncultured bacterium
Lineage: Bacteria
Description: partial 16S ribosomal RNA
Rfam family: Bacterial small subunit ribosomal RNA
Source: RNAcentral
GAUGAACGCUGGCGGCGUGCCUAAUACAUGCAAGUCGAGCGAACGGACGAGAAGCUUGCUUCUCUGAUGUUAGCGGCGGACGGGUGAGUAACACGUGGAUAACCUACCUAUAAGACUGGGAUAACUUCGGGAAACCGGAGCUAAUACCGGAUAAUAUUUUGAACCGCAUGGUUCAAAAGUGAAAGACGGUCUUGCUGUCACUUAUAGAUGGAUCCGCGCUGCAUUAGCUAGUUGGUAAGGUAACAGCUUACCAAGGCAACGAUGCAUAGCCGACCUGAGAGGGUGAUCGGCCACACUGGAACUGAGACACGGUCCAGACUCCUACGGGAGGCAGCAGUAGGGAAUCUUCCGCAGUGGGCGAAAGCCUGACGGAGCAACGCCGCGUGAGUGAUGAAGGUCUUCGGAUCGUAAAACUCUGUUAUUAGGGAAGAACAUAUGUGUAAGUAACUGUGCACAUCGUGACGGUACCUAAUCAGAAAGCCACGGCUAACUACGUG